AAACUUUGCAAUGUGCGAAAGCACGACAAGGUUAAUCCGAGUGAUUCCUGCUAAAGGAAUCUUUUGUUAGUCAUAAUACCACUGAUGAAUAAGGGGUGGGCAAGUUCUGGUGUCAGCCGCCGCGGUAAAACCAGCACCUCAAGUGGUCAGGAUGAUUAUUGGGCCUAAAGCAUCCGUAGCCGGCUUUGUUAGUUUUCGGUUAAAUCUAUAUGCUCAACAUAUAGGCUGCCGGGAAUACUACAAAGCUAGGGAGUGGGAGAGGUAGACGGUACUCCGUAGGAAGGGGUAAAAUCCUUUGAUCUAUGGAUGACCACCUGUGGCGAAGGCGGUCUACCAGAACACGUCCGACGGUGAGGGAUGAAAGCUGGGGGAGCAAACCGGAUUAGAUACCCGGGUAGUCCCAGCUGUAAACUAUGCAAACUCAGUGAUGCAUUGGCUUGUGGCCAGUGCAGUGCCGCAGGGAAGCCGUUAAGUUUGCCGCCUGGGAAGUACGUACGCAAGUAUGAAACUUAAAGGAAUUGGCGGGGGAGCAC
This 533-nucleotide ribosomal RNA is filed under the name uncultured archaeon. RNAcentral describes it as "bacterial SSU rRNA". It matches the Rfam family "Archaeal small subunit ribosomal RNA", at positions 345 to 879 of the family's 1478-position model. The record is from RNAcentral.